RNAcentral lists this ribosomal RNA (478 nucleotides) under uncultured bacterium. RNAcentral's name for it is "partial 16S ribosomal RNA". It matches the Rfam family "Bacterial small subunit ribosomal RNA", at positions 28 to 507 of the family's 1533-position model. The record is from RNAcentral.
GAUGAACGCUAGCGGCAGGCCUAACACAUGCAAGUCGAGGGAGAAGCCCUUUCGGGGGCAGAAACCGGCGCACGGGUGCGUAACGCGUAUGCAACCUACCUUUCACAGGGGGAUAGCCCGAAGAAAUUUGGAUUAAUACCCCAUAAUAUUAUUGGAUGGCAUCAUUUGAUAAUUAAAACUGCGGUGGUGAAAGAUGGGCAUGCGUCCUAUUAGCUAGUUGGAGUGGUAACGGCACCCCAAGGCUACGAUAGGUAGGGGUCCUGAGAGGGAGAUCCCCCACACUGGUACUGAGACGGGGACCAGACUCCUACGGGAGGCAGCAGUGAGGAAUAUUGGUCAAUGGUCGGAAGACUGAACCAGCCAUGCCGCGUGCAGGAAGAAUGCCUUAUGGGUUGUAAACUGCUUUUAUAUGGGAAGAAUAAGGCGUACGUGUACGUUGAUGACGGUACCAUAUGAAUAAGCAUCGGCUAACUCCGUG